RNAcentral lists this ribosomal RNA (340 nucleotides) under uncultured bacterium. RNAcentral's name for it is "bacterial SSU rRNA". It matches the Rfam family "Bacterial small subunit ribosomal RNA", at positions 30 to 372 of the family's 1533-position model. The record is from RNAcentral.
AUUGAACGCUGGCGGCAUGCCUUACACAUGCAAGUCGAACGGUAACGGGCCUUCGGGUGCCGACGAGUGGCGAACGGGUGAGUAAUGCAUCGGAACGUACCUUUCAGUGGGGGAUAACGUAGCGAAAGUUACGCUAAUACCGCAUAUUCUGUGAGCAGGAAAGCAGGGGAUCGCAAGACCUUGCGCUGAUUGAGCGGCCGAUGUCAGAUUAGCUAGUUGGUGAGGUAAAGGCUCACCAAGGCGACGAUCUGUAGCGGGUCUGAGAGGAUGAUCCGCCACACUGGAACUGAGACACGGUCCAGACUCCUACGGGAGGCAGCAGUGGGGAAUUUUGGACAAU